This 2862-nucleotide long non-coding RNA is filed under the name Homo sapiens (human). RNAcentral describes it as "HSALNT0027511". Lineage: Eukaryota; Metazoa; Chordata; Mammalia; Primates; Hominidae. The record is from RNAcentral.
UUCCCAAAGCCACACAGCUUACCGUUUGUCCAGCCAACCGGCUCCUCUCCCUCCCCCAGCCCGUCUCCUGCAGGCGGAAUCAGUCAUUUCUAUUGCCCUUGCUUAUAUCACUUUGCUUGCCUGUGCCCCAUUAGGCUGGGAGCUCCCUAAAAGCAGCCCCAGAUUCAGGCUUCUUGUUCUUCAGAGCCCAGCACACGGUGGUCACUCAGUGACCCUUCGUCCGAUGGUGAAUGUCUAAGGAAACAGUGAGUGGCUGGCGUGACUGCACACAGUCAACCGAUACCCAAGACCAUCUUCAUGCUUCCUCGGCGACAUGGCUUCACCAGAGAGGCUGCAUCUAACAGGUGUCGAAACCAUACCGAGAAGGAAAGGUGCUCCCAUGACUCACACUAGCACCGUAAAAGAAGUGCCCAGCAGCGGGAGUCCUGAUAAAAACACUGUGUAUUUCAUAACGCGGAAGAAAGGAAUUCACUCCGUGUUCAGAGGCAUGGUGUCGGGCAAUCUAGAAGACCAGCUUUUAACAACCUGGGCCUGAUCCACCAGCUCACACGUGAGUGGGUUCUUCUGCAGAAAUAGCACCAGGAACAUGAAGAAACAGCUGUUUCUGAAACUGUUGGAGCCACGUGGUGUUGUCCCUGCUACUGUGUGCUGUUCCUACGUUUCCCGGAAGAGGCGUAGGACGUGGCAGCCAGUCACAGAAGCCUUGACUCUAAAGAGGAUUUUUAAAUACAGAACUCGGACACAGCCCCUUGACUUCAAGUACAUCCAGUGCCUUCUCCCAAAGCAUCUGGUCUCCUGAGACAGCUGCAACCUGCAGCAAAGCUGUCAGGAAUGAGGGCCACGUGCGGCUCAUCUGGGCCCGGCCAGGGGAGAACAGACAGCCUGAGUCAGGGCUUGCCAUGACGUCAAGUGAGGAUGGCCACCGGAGCCGCCCCGCACACCCCUGACUGAGCUAUUCUGGGUCACAGACACCAACAUCCCAGCAGGAUCAGGACCUGAGAGAGGGGCUCUAGACAGAAAUGGGCCCAUCGCUUGACAGAAACGACAACACAGCGCUGGAGACAGUGAAACUCUCUGACCACCACCGGCUCCACCAGGACUGUAGGCAAAACUGGGCACUUCUGGGUCAGGAAGCCACCCACAGCCGGGGGUGCGUGACUAGUCUGGCUUGUGACUGAGGGCUGCCCCUCGGGAGAACCUGCAUUUCUGAGCACACUCGCUUCCAUGUAAUGUGCGGUAGGGCUUGUUCCCUGGCCUGGUGAGAUGGGGAGGAGGGGGUUGUAAAUGGGGAAGGACACAAGGCCCGGGGCAUUUGGUACCCAGACUCUGCCAGCACUCACACACCAGCAAGGCCAACAGGAUGACUCAGUGUGAUUCAGGUUUUCAGUGGCUGCAAAACCAGCCCACCAAGCACUUCUCCACUCACCCUGCCAAUGAAUGGGCGUCCUUUCCCUGUCCCCAGGCCAGGUCACUACCAGUGGCAGGCAAGGGAAGGAGUCAGCAGGUCACCACGGUUCAGCAAGCACUGGGCACCCAAGUGCUAGGGAGGAAGGGAUGAAUUCCCAAGACACGACGCACAGAUUCGGGCAGACUUCCAGCUUCUAGGCCAAACCAGGGAGAAGCAGGAGCCGAGCACAGCUCCUGGUGCAGCCCCACAGUGGCCCACGGGGGCUGCUUCCUGUUCCUCCUGCACUGGCCACAGGCCACCAGGAGCUGCUUGCUUGCUGUUCCAGCCUGGAGCAAAGACAGAGCUCAGGGCUGCCAGGAGCACAAGAGCUGGGCGAGGCCAGGAAGCAUCUGGGUAGUGCGGUUGUAUCCAGAAGCAGCUGGGGGCUGAUCAGGGGGAGCACGCAGCCCUCCGAUUGCAGGGCUGCCUAUUUGAGUGGCAGCUCCUCUUAGAAACAAUGCAGAACAAGCCCAGGGCCCCACAGAAAAGGGCACUGCCCUUCCCAGAACUUGAGCUCCGGGACUACGCAUCUGUUCUCACCAGAUACAGCUUGGGGCUGAGGAACAAAGAGCCUUCCCUGGGCCACAGGUGGGGGACCCAGAGGCUGGGCAGGAGCCCCUGUUCUGAAGGGUCCCAGGCCCACACCACAGAUGCUGCUGACGUGCAGAACCACUCUAAAGAAGAACAGAGAGACGCAGGAGCACAGAGGAGGUGCGGCCAGGGGAGGCACACCUGGGCGUAGCCAGGGAGGGGCGCAGGACACUUCGAGGCUGACAGGAGACCCACGUGGUGGGGAAAGGAGCCCCCCAAAGUGUCAGAGCAUGAAGCAGCAGGAAGGAGCUCCCUCGGGCCACUGCUGGGAUCAGUGGUGCCAUGGAGCAAGCGAGGAGUUGUUUGGCCUGAAAGCCGGAAGCGUGCCCAAAUCUUUGCAUCACCAUGUAGGCAGUCACCUCGCUCCUCAGCACUCGGGGCAGGACAGAAGCUUGCUGUCUGCUCACCAGACAUCCUGUGCUGCCCUACAGACACCUUGCUCGCCAGCCAUCCCCACUCACUUCUGACCGGGACCCAAUUCUCUGGCCAAACCCAGGCUCUAGCACCGUCUUGGUGCUGCUUGAGAAACAUCUAGUUUAAGUCAAAAUCCAAUGUCUUUUUAAUAUAUAGACUAUAUGUACCUAUGGACUAGAGGUGAAUAUAUAUACAUCAUAUCAAAUUCAAGUGACCCAGUAUUUCAGGAGAACCCACUAUGUCCCCAGCCUGCAUGGGAAGCUGGGGAUUCUGGCAUGAACUGCACCUUAUCCUUCCCUCGAGCAGCUCAUUCGAGAGUCAGCAACCCCAUCAGAAAACCAAACACCACAUGUUCUCACUCAUAAGUGGGAAUUGAACAAUGAGAACACAUGGACACAGGGAGGGGAACA